Felis catus (domestic cat) is the source of this 85-nucleotide transfer RNA. It matches the Rfam family "tRNA". Rfam says of the family: Transfer RNA (tRNA) molecules are approximately 80 nucleotides in length. Their secondary structure includes four short double-helical elements and three loops (D, anti-codon, and T loops). Further hydrogen bonds mediate the characteristic L-shaped molecular structure. tRNAs have two regions of fundamental functional importance: the anti-codon, which is responsible for specific mRNA codon recognition, and the 3' end, to which the tRNAs corresponding amino acid is attached (by aminoacyl-tRNA synthetases). tRNAs cope with the degeneracy of the genetic code in two manners: having more than one tRNA (with a specific anti-codon) for a particular amino acid; and 'wobble' base-pairing, i.e. permitting non-standard base-pairing at the 3rd anti-codon position. The record is from Rfam. NCBI's taxonomy places the organism in Eukaryota, Metazoa, Chordata, Mammalia, Carnivora, Felidae.
GCCUGGGUGGCUUAGUUGGUUAAGCAUCCGACUUUGGCUCAGGUCAUGAUCUCAUGGUUUGUGAGUUUGAGCCCCACGUCAGGCU